RNAcentral lists this ribosomal RNA (419 nucleotides) under Araneus gemmoides. Its description in RNAcentral is "partial 16S ribosomal RNA". It matches the Rfam family "Bacterial large subunit ribosomal RNA", at positions 1844 to 2585 of the family's 2925-position model. The record is from RNAcentral. Lineage: Eukaryota; Metazoa; Arthropoda; Arachnida; Araneae; Araneidae.
UAUUGUAAGUAACACCUGCUCAAUGAACAAUUAAAUAGCCGCGGAAAUUUAACCGUGCUAAGGUAGCAUAAUCAUUAGCCUUUUAAUUAAAGGCUCGUAUGAAUGGUGAAACAUUUCAAUUACUUUAUUAAUUAAUAUUUUUAAAUUUAAAUUAAGAAUAAAAAUGUUCUUAUAUAUAAAUUAGACGACAAGACCCUUUUGAACUUCACUUUAGUUUAGCUGGGGCAGCUAAAAAAAAAUAAUCUUUUUACUUUUCAAAACAUAAAUGAUCCAAUAUAAUUGAUUUUAUGAACAAGUUACCAUAGGGAUAACAGCGUAAUAUUUUUUCAAAGCUCUUAUUAAAAAAAAUGAUUACGACCUCGAUGUUGAAUUAGUGUAACUUUAUAAAUGCAAUAAUUUUAAAAGUAGGUCUGUUCGAC